CUGAAGUUUACAAUCUUAUGUUCGUAUCUCUCUCUAUAGAUCUCUUAUCAGCAGUUGGAGGAACUUGUCUAAAGUUUACUAACCAAAGGUAUGGCUAAGUUGUGCAGCAGUCAUUUUUCACAGCCACACGAGAAAAGCCUGGAAAAGCGAAAUCGGAAAGAUUUCCUAAAGGUUAUUUUGCACACUCUCAUUGACGCCAUCAAUACGACGACAACGAUUCACAAUCCAAAAAAAAUCCUAUGCGAAAACCUAGA
Long non-coding RNA from Orbicella faveolata, 254 nucleotides. The record is from RefSeq and is a predicted model, not a curated record. Lineage: Eukaryota; Metazoa; Cnidaria; Anthozoa; Scleractinia; Merulinidae.